UACGAGGGGGGCUAGCGUUGCUCGGAAUCACUGGGCGUAAAGCGCACGUAGGCGGAUUGCUAAGUCAGGGGUGAAAUCCUGGAGCUCAACUCCAGAACUGCCUUUGAUACUGGUGAUCUUGAGUCCGGGAGAGGUGAGUGGAACUGCGAGUGUAGAGGUGAAAUUCGUAGAUAUUCGCAAGAACACCAGUGGCGAAGGCGGCGACCUGGGUCGAUACUGACGCUGAGGUGCGAAAGCGUGGGGAGCAAACAGG
This 253-nucleotide ribosomal RNA is filed under the name uncultured bacterium. Its description in RNAcentral is "partial 16S ribosomal RNA". It matches the Rfam family "Bacterial small subunit ribosomal RNA", at positions 524 to 776 of the family's 1533-position model. The record is from RNAcentral.